Molecule: ribosomal RNA, 3184 nt
Filed under: Durio zibethinus
Lineage: Eukaryota; Viridiplantae; Streptophyta; Magnoliopsida; Malvales; Malvaceae
Description: eukaryotic LSU rRNA
Rfam family: Eukaryotic large subunit ribosomal RNA
Source: RNAcentral
CCCUAGGUCAAGUAGGAUUACCUAUUGAGUUUAAGCAUAUGAAUAAGCAAAGGAAAAGAAACUUACCAAGAUUAUCCUAGUAAUAAUGAGCCAACCAAAAAAAGCCCAACUUGAGAAUCGAGAACCCUUGGAGUCCAAAUUGUAGUUUGGUGAAACAUCUUUAGUGAUGGACUAGGCCUAAGUCCCGUAGAAAAGGGGUGUUAGAGAGGGUGAGAGUCCUAUUGUGCUUGGAUCCUAUCGUACCAUGAGACUCUAUCUAUGAUUCAGGUUGUAAAUUUCAUCCAAGGCUGAAUACGAGUGAGAGACCAGUAGUGAAGAAAUACUAUGAGGGAAAGAUGAAAAGGAUUUUGAAAAAAGAGUCAAAGAGUGCUUGAAAUUAUUGAAAAGAAAAUGGAUGGGGGAUGAUGAUGCAACCCAGUUAGAUGUGGAAUGGUGAAAGCUAGUCUAUUGGUUGGCUUAGGGCAUGGACUAACAUGUGUUGUAGUGGCUGCCUAACCCUGGGCUUUUGAUAUGCCCAUUGAGACAUUGUCGCUAUGAUCAUGGAAUGCAACACAUAUCAUCUCAACAUGCCUCGACACCCGUGUGCUCCUAGCAUCAGCCUGCAAGCUCCCUAUCUAGCUUGUCUUGAAAUGUAGCCCAAGGAGUGUGACAUGUGUGCAAGUUAACAUGCUAGAUAACCUAUUAGGUGCAAGAAAGUUGGUUGGUAGGAUCUCUCACAGGUGUACCACCGACUGACCUUAAGCUUUUGAAAAAGGUUUGAGUGUGAGCUUACCUAUUGAGGUGAGCUAUGCUUGAGUGGGGCUAAGAUAUGGGAAACUCUAGUGGAAGCCCACAAUGAUAUUCAUGUGUAAAUCAUUCAUCUAAGUUGGGUAUAGGGGUGAAAGACUAAUUGAACCAUCUAGUAGCUAGUUCCCUCUAAAGUUUCUUUUAGGAUAGAUGGAGCCCUUAGCGAGUUCUAUUGGGUAAAGCCAUGGUUAGAGGCAUUGGGGCACAAUGCCCUCAACCUAUUCUCAAACAUAAAUAAGUAGGAUGAUGUAGCUACUUCAUUGAGAUGCUUCAUGGAAUCGAGACCUCCAAGCGGGCCAUUUUUGGUAAGUAGACCUGGCGAUAUAAAAUGAACUAAAAGUUGGGUUACAGUGGCUAAUUAUGUGCAAACCUAGAACCCUCAAAGGUGUUGGUCGAUUAAGAUAGCAAGACAGUGAUCAUAGAAGUCAAAAUCCUCUAUAAAGUGUGUAGUAACCCACCUAUCAAAUCGACUAGCCUCGAAUAUAAAUGGCACUUAAGCAUGUGACCUAUACUAGAUCAUCAAGGCAAGGGUGAAGCCCUACUGAGUAGGAGGAUAUGAUGGUUGCUACAAAACUCAGUACGUAAGCUUGUGCAAAGAGACUGUCAGUGCAGAUCUUGGUAGUAGUAGCAAAUAUUCAAAUGAGAACUUUGAAGGCCAAAGAAGGGAAAGGUUCCAUGUGAACAACACUUGCACAUAGGUUAAUCGAUUCUUAGAGAUGGGUCCAACAUAAGCUUUGAAAGGAAAUUGUGUUAAAAUUCCUAAACUGGGACACAAUGGCUAACAGCAGCAUUAGGGAUUCCAAAGACAUCGAUGAGGGCCUCAGGAAGAGUUAUCUUUCUAUUUAAUGACCUGUCCACCCUAGAAACAACUCAAUUAGAGGUAGGUUCCAUUAGCUAAAAGAGCAAUACAUGUCACAUUAUGUCCUAGUUGCCCUAGCAGCCCUUGAAAAUAUGGAGGAGUGAGUGCUAUUCAUGCCUAGUUGUACUCAUAAUUGCAUGGGUUUCCAAAUUGAACAAGCUCUAGUUGAUGAAAUAAUGUAGGUAAGGGAAGUUAGCAAAAUGGAUCUCUAACCUUGGGAAAAUGAUUGGCUCUGAGGGUUGGGCAUAGGGGUCAUAGUCUUGAACCUUUUGGCUACCAAUGCACUACUCAAGCUGCCCCUAUAGUGAGAGCAAUUUGAUGCGUGUAGGCUAGGGGAUGGACUAGGAAUGGCUCCCUUGGGGGCCUUCCCCAUGUGAUGAAUAGUCAACUCAAAACUGGUAUAGACUAGGGGAAUUCGAUUGUUUAAUUAAAACAAAGCAUUGUGAUGGUCCCUAGGGAUGCUCACUCAAUGUGAUUUUUGCCCAGUGCUCUAAAUGUCAAAGUGAAGAAUUUCAACCAAUCAUAGGUAAAUAGUGGGAAUAAUAUGACUUUUUUGAGGUAGCCAAAUGCCUUUGCAUCUAAUUAGUGAUACACAUGAGUGGAUUAACAAGAUUCCCAUUGUCCCUGUUGACUAUCCAGUAAAACCAUAACCAAGGGAAGAGGCUUAGCAUAACCAACAGGAAAGAAGACCUAAUUGAGCUUGACUCUAGUCUAACAUUGUGAAAUAACUUGAGAGUGUAGGAUAAGUGGGAGCCAUCUGAUGAAAUUGAAAUACCAUUUCUAUUAAUGUUAUUUUACUUAUUUCAUGAAUCGGAGGUAGGCACAACCCUUUUUUUUGGACAUAAGGCUAGCCUCGGUUGAUCAAUCCAGGCAGAAGACAUUGUCAGGUGGGGAGUUUACUGGGGCAACACAUCUAUUAAAUGAUAACAUAGGUGUUCUAUGAUAAUCUCAACGAGAACAAGAAUUUCAUGUGGAACAAAAGGGAAAAGGCUAAUUUCAUUCUAAUUUUCAGUACAAAUAUGAACCAUGAAAACAUGGCCUAUCGAUCUUUUAGACUUUCGAAAUUUGAAGCUAGUGGCAUUGGAAAAGUUACCAUAGGGAUAAUUAGCUUGUGGCAAUGAAGUAUUCAUUAGCGACAUUACUUUUUGAUUCUUCGAUGUCAGCUCUUGCCAUCAUUGUGAAGUAGAAUUCUCUAAGUGUUGGAUUGUUCACCCACCAAUAUGAAAUGUGAGCAAGGUUUAGACCAUUGUGAGAUACAUUAGUUUUACCUUACUGAUAGCAAUGUUGUAAUGGUAAUUCAACCUAGAAUGAGAAGAACUGUUGAUUCGCACAAUUGGUCAUCGUGCUUGGUUAAAAAGCUAGGGUUAAAAAGCUGUCAUGCGCUGGAUUAUGAUUGAAUGCCUCUAAGUUAAAAUCUAGGCUAGAAGUGAUGCAUGUGCCUAUCAUCCAAUUGCCGACCUACAACAUGGAUGCAUGGCCCUCAAGGGCAUGUGUCAUAGGUGCAGCCCCUGCUGCAGACAAGCUACGCAAGCCUCAUUG